Long non-coding RNA from Taeniopygia guttata (zebra finch), 2568 nucleotides. The record is from Ensembl. Lineage: Eukaryota; Metazoa; Chordata; Aves; Passeriformes; Estrildidae.
AUGCACCCCGAAAUACCCCCAAAAUCCACCCAAAAAUCCGUGAACUACGCCCCAAAAUCCCCCCAAAAUCCUCCCCCAAAUACGCCCCAAAAUCCAACCCAAAAUACGCCCCGAAAUCCCCCCAAAAUCCUCCCCAAAAUCCGCCCCAAAAUCCUCCCGAAAAUCCUCCCCAAAACCCGCCCCAAAUCGGCCCCAAACUCAGCCCCAAACUCAGCCCCAAAAUCUGCCCCAAAAUCCGCCCCAAAAUCCGCCCCAAAAUCCCCCAAAUCAGCCCAAGACACCCCAAAAUCCCCACGGGGAUCCCCCAAAUCCCCCGGGACACCCCAAAAUCCCGGAUUGCAACCUGGACCGGGACCGGGACUGGGAACGGGACCGGGAUCAGAACCGGGAUUGGGAUCAGGUUUGGGAUUGGGAUCAGAACCGGGAUUGGGACCGGGAUCAGAACCGGGACCAGGAUCAGGUUUGGGAUCAGGGUCAGAACCGGGAUUGGGAACGGAAUUGGGACCGGGAUUGGGACUGGGACCGGGAUCAGAACCGGGACUGGGACUGGGACCGGGAUCAGGUUUGGGAUCAGGAUCAGAACCGGGAUUGGGACCGGGAUUGGGACCAGGAUUGGGACUGGGAUCAGAACCGGGACUGGGACUGGGACUGGGACCAGGAUUAGAACCAGGAUUAGAACCGGGAUUGGGAACGGAAUUGGGACCAGGACUGAGACUGGGACCGGGAUCAGAACCGGAAGGUGGACCAGGAUUGGGACUGGGAUCGGGACUGGGACCGGGAUCAGAACCGGGAUUGGGACCGGAUCAGAACUGGGAACAGGACUGGGACUGGGACACGGAUCGGGACUGGGAUCAGAACCGGGACUGGGAUCAGGUUUGGGAUCAGGAUCAGAACCGGGACUGGGGCCAGAACCGGGAUGGGGACCAAGACUGGGAUCAGGACUGGGACUGGGAUCGGGACCGGGACUGGGACCGGGACCUGGAUUGGGACCGGGAUCAGAACUGGGAACGGGACUGGGACAUGGAUCGGGACUGGGAUCGGAACCGGGAUUGGAACCAAGACUGGGACUGGGACCGGGAUCAGAACCGGGACUGGGAUUGGGGCCGGGAUUUGGAAUGGGACGGAGCCGGAACCAGGAUUGGAAUCAGACCUGGGACCAGGACCGGGACCGGGACCGGGAUCAGGAUCAGAACCGGGACCGGGACUGGGACAGGGGUCAGAACCGGGACUGGGACAGGAACCAACACCAGGACCGGGACAGGGAUCAGAACCGGGACCAGGAUCAGAACUGGGACUGGGAACGGAAUUGGGACCAGGAUUGGGACUGGGACCGGGAUCAGAACCGGGACUGGAAUCAGAACCGGGACUGGGACUGGGACUGGGAUCAGAACCGGGAUUGGGAUCAGGUUUGGGAUCGGGAUCAGAACCAGGACUGGGAUCAGGUUUGGGAUUGGGAUCAGAACCGGGAUUGGGACCGGGAUCAGAACCGGGACCAGGAUCAGGUUUGGGAUCAGGGUCAGAACCGGGAUUGGGAUCAGGAUCAGAACUGGGACUGGGAACGGAAUUGGGACCAGGAUUGGGACUGGGACCGGGAUCAGAACCAGGAUUGGGAUCAGAACCGGGAUUGGGACCGGGAUCAGAACCGGGAUUGGGACUGGGACUGGGACAAGGAUUGGGACUGGGAUUGGGACCGGAAUCGGGACUGGGAUCAGAACCGGGAUUGGGACUGGGACCAGUAUUGGGACCAGGAUCAGAACUGGGACUGGAUCAGAACUGGGACUGGGACCGGGAUCAGAACCGGGAUUGGGAACGGAACUGGGACUGGGACCGGGAUCAGAACCAGGACCGGGAUCAGGUUUGGGAUCAGGAUCAGAACCGGGAUUGGGACCGGGAUUGGGACUGGGAUUGGGACCGGGAUCAGAACCGGGACUGGGAUCACCGGGGAUGGAGGGUCCGGGUCAGAACCGGGACUGGGAUCAAUGGGAUGGAGGGUCCGGGUCAGAACCGGGUCAGAACCGGGAUCAGAACCGGAUCAGAACCGGGACUGAGAUGGGAUUGGGAUCAGAACCGGAUCAGAACCGGGACUGGGAUGGGAUUGGGAUCAGAACCGGAUCAGAACCGGAUCAGAACCGGGACCGGGAUGGGAUCAGAACCGGAUCAGAACCGGGACUGGGAUGGGAUUGGGAUCAGAACCGGAUCAGAACCGGAUCAGAACCGGGACCGGGAUGGGAUCAGAACCGGAUCAGAACCGGGACCGGGAUGGGAUUGGGAUCAGAACCGGAUCAGAACCGGGACUGGGACCCCUCCGGUACCGGAUCCCCAUCCCGGUACCGGAUCCCCAUCCCGGCCGGUACCGGAUCCCCAUCCCGGUACCGGAUCCCCAUCCCGGUACCGGGUCCCUCCCUGCCGGUACCGGGGGCUCGGCUCCCGGUGGGUCCCUCCCCAGCAGAGCCACGGCUCCGUUUCUGCCGGUACCGGAGGCUCUGUCCCCACCCGAACCGGGUCCUCAUUGCCGCCGGUACCGGGUCCUCAUUGCCGCCGGUACCGGGUCCUCAUUGCCGCCGGUAA